GUCAGUCUUGGCUGGCAGACCUGUACUCCGUACUCCGUACUUCGUAGUCGCAGCGGCGCGGUCUUCGGCAGUCUAGUCAUCCACCGCCAUCCUGGGCCCCACGUGUUGCCUGACCAUUCCUGAGCCCAGGUGGGAGCCGUGGCUGAGGUGACGGUCUCAAAGUGGAAGAGCUUACUGUCACAGCAACUCCUUUGCAAGAUGCCCCGGUAAAUCACGUUGCAGAGACCCCAACUCUGCCUUCCUGGAACUAGGCCUGCGUUUUCUCUGAACCAUUAUUUCAUGGGGAAAAUGAAAUCUACUUCAUGUGCCUGGUCUACUUACUCCUUCAGAAGUGAUUUCUGAGCCGCCAGGAAUAGUUGCUGAACACCCCAGGCCUGCUGAGGUCCCUCCUUGAGUCUCAUGUUCAAGCAGUCUUCACAUGGCACAAGAGUGCCUGCCAUCCGUCAGUGUUUCUACAGCAGCAAUCCCAAGAUGCUGGAGCUAGAGGGGACCUGACCUGAGAGAAGAUACCUUCAGUGGCUGCCAG
Molecule: long non-coding RNA, 526 nt
Filed under: Homo sapiens (human)
Lineage: Eukaryota; Metazoa; Chordata; Mammalia; Primates; Hominidae
Description: non-protein coding SNHG15:34
Source: RNAcentral